CAGCCCUAGUCAUUACUGUCAAUUUAUUUUGUUCAUUAAAAAAUUAUUGAUUUCUUUGUAAAUUCUCUACCAAUCAAAAAAAGGCAAGAUCCGUGAUUCCCCAAAUAGUAGGGGAAGAACACAACAGAUAUGUACAGUAGAAAAACUGGUAUAAAAAGUGAUGAUUUGGAUAUCAAAAGUCAGUCAAGAUCAAAGACGAGCGGUCAGUCGAUUCCAGGUCUUGAUCCGGAAAAGAAGCGGCCACAUUCUGUCUGGGAGUCAACAAGGGGACUCAGCCAGCGAGGACCAGCUGUUGCGAUUCAUCAGAUCCGGUUGAGAAACUGGAAAGAUUUUGUUGUAGCUGUGACCUUAUAUAAUGAUUUAUUGAAUUCUCGAACCUCAACUUCCCCUACACGAGAAUAAGAAGCGAAGUGCUUACGCUGACUACUCUCUUAUCGCUUAGAGAAAAGUAAACAGACAUAGAUUGUUCAGCCAUUGUCUGCUUGCAAUAGUAUUGGGUGGAAUUAACAUCCAACAUGCCAAGAUAAUAAUCUAAAAUAAAAUAAUGUAAAUAAAAUUGUAGCAUGCACAUGGAAUUUUUUAUUUAUAAAUAAAUCACCUAUGUAUAUACUAAAUAUAUAAACAAAAAACAUUAUUGUAGUUUCUCAGUUGGCAAAAAAAUUGAGUCUAAAAAUUCUAUCAUGACUGUCAGUGUUAUUUUUUUAUACCAAUGGUGGUAUGUGUUAAAAUAUUUUUUGAAAACAGCAUUUUGUAACCAAUCCAAAUAAAUAUUCUCCAUUGAAAACUGUUUAUUUUAUUUUAUAAACAGUAGAUUCUCGUUAUCCUUUACCCCUUUAUUUUCAGGGUUCGAAGCACUUUCUUUUAUCAGUACAUCAAAUCGGACACUUUCUGCUCGCAUGUGCCUAUUAUCAAUGUUAUGCAUAAAUUUAUGUACACACAUUUCAGGUUUUUUCUAUAAGAAAAAUUCAACGUACAGAAACAUAAAAUUUAUUACAUGCAGGAAAACGUACGUCAAUGAGUAUGGGCCUAAAACAGAUCCAGUUGUUCAGCGGAGAUGGGAGUGGGAGGAAUUAGUCAGGUGCCGCGGUAUUUUUUGGGAAGGGUAAUUACCGAAACCAGGAAAGCAGAAGAGAUUGAAAUUGAACAAGGAAAAAAAAAUUAACGGAGUUGUUUGAACCACCAAUAUUCGAGAUACAAAGCGAAGACCGUCACCUCAUCCAAUUGCGCUCGUGUAAAGGUGGCUCCAGACAUGUGGAAUUCACAAAUUGCCGAGCGUAAUCCAACUAGCGGGGACGGAUGCUUGGCUUUCGCUGAGCAACAAUAUUCGGUGUUGUUUCCUUAUCCGCUUCAAAGUGUACAAAUAUUUGCGAAGUAGCCAAAGUCAUAGUAUCCACAUAUUAGGGAAUAACCAUCAAUCAAUACUGAUAUUUAUUUUUCAAUAAUAAACAAUUCCUAACUGGUAUAGAUAUAUUAAUGAAAGAAUCAUAGCAUUAUUUCUGCCAGUUUUCCAACAAUAAUUUGGAACGCUUCUCUUCUGAUUUGCAAAAAUCGGGACGUUUUUGAUGGGUGAAAUGGAUCGAAAGUAAGAUGGGGCAACGUACUCAGUGAUUGAUUUACGACUUGUAGCCACUACACAAAACAGCAACCACAUCUGCAACAACAAAAAUUUCACAAUUGUCCACAAUUGGCGAGUUGAGGACUUGCACAGUGGCGAAUAUUCACUUUUCCGCACAAACUGGCUGUUUCUCCAAUUUUUUCUAUUGCCUGUUCCCAUUUUUCUUCUAUUUUAUCUUCUCCGUCUUCUUCUAUGCUUGAUGUGAUUCAUACUCAUUCCCACUCUCCAGAAAGCAAGUGAAAGCGCGGAUAAUGAGAGUCUACUGUUUAAUAAAGUAAAUUUAUCUGAAACUAACUACAGGAAAAUGUGUUUUUUAAAUUUUUUUUAUAUCCAUUUUUAAAGGAUGGGGUACGGAAGGGCGUACAAAUGAAUGUUUUUAAAUUCAAAUAUAUAUAUGUAUAUAUUUAUAAACUACAAAAUUGUACACGAAUGUAAAGGUACUCUCCCCUCAAAUAACAGUGCAAGCAAUGAUCUUUAGUAUCCUACCAGGUAAAGCGAUUGACUUUAAAGCUACCUAGCAUUCCUCAAUCAAUUUCAAUGUAUUAUUUCCUUUAUUAAAAAAAUUAAAUUAAAUUAAAAAAAAAAUAAUUCACACAUUGACUGUUUCAAAAAUGUUUUAAAUUCCACUGCACGAUAUCCCAAUAACACAUAUCACAUAAUUGAUGUUUUCUUGAAACUUCUUUGUCAUAUCACUAAAAAAAAGUUAACAAAAAAAGAAAAAAACACUAUCUCGCUCGUCACGUCUACAAAUUAAUAAAUAGUGCUACUAAUAAAAAGCCGUACUGAAAAUGUAAACAAAAGUGGCCUCUCUAGAGGAAAUUACCUUUGGUUUGACUUAAUACUAUGUAUAUUUGUCCCAGACCGCAGGGACGUAGGAGAGCAUAUAUCCAAACUAUACAAAACAAUUAUUUUCAAUUAUACACACAAAAAAGAAAAAAAAAAAAGAAAUAGUUUUCAAAUAAAAAUAGGCACCGUAGAGAUGCCUAUUUUGUCUAUACCAUAUAAAAUUAUGUAAAAAUU
Cimex lectularius (bed bug) is the source of this 2635-nucleotide long non-coding RNA. RefSeq lists it as uncharacterized. The transcript is spliced from 2 exons. The record is from RefSeq and is a predicted model, not a curated record. Lineage: Eukaryota; Metazoa; Arthropoda; Insecta; Hemiptera; Cimicidae.